UAGGGAAUCUUCCGCAAUGGACGCAAGUCUGACGGAGCAACGCCGCGUGAGUGAAGAAGGUUUUCGGAUCGUAAAGCUCUGUUGUAAGAGAAGAACGGGUGUGAGAGUGGAAAGUUCACACUGUGACGGUAUCUUACCAGAAAGGGACGGCUAACUACGUGCCAGCAGCCGCGGUAAUACGUAGGUCCCGAGCGUUGUCCGGAUUUAUUGGGCGUAAAGCGAGCGCAGGCGGUUUGAUAAGUCUGAAGUUAAAGGCUGUGGCUCAACCAUAGUUCGCUUUGGAAACUGUCAAACUUGAGUGCAGAAGGGGAGAGUGGAAUUCCAUGUGUAGCGGUGAAAUGCGUAGAUAUAUGGAGGAACACCGGUGGCGAAAGCGGCUCUCUGGUCUGUAACUGACGCUGAGGCUCGAAAGCGUGGGGAGCGAACAGGAUUAGAUACCCUGGUAGUCCACGCCGUAAACGAUGAGUGCUAGGUGUUGGAUCCUUUCCGGGAUUCAGUGCCGCAGCUAACGCAUUAAGCACUCCGCCUGGGGAGUACGACCGCAAGGUU
RNAcentral lists this ribosomal RNA (549 nucleotides) under uncultured bacterium. RNAcentral describes it as "bacterial SSU rRNA". It matches the Rfam family "Bacterial small subunit ribosomal RNA", at positions 355 to 895 of the family's 1533-position model. The record is from RNAcentral.